Molecule: antisense RNA, 192 nt
Filed under: Xenorhabdus cabanillasii
Lineage: Bacteria; Pseudomonadati; Pseudomonadota; Gammaproteobacteria; Enterobacterales; Morganellaceae
Description: Yersinia sRNA 276
Rfam family: Yersinia sRNA 276
Source: Rfam by way of RNAcentral
CACUGACAUCAGAGAUUCGUUCUGGGAACCUUGCCCCACUGCCAGAUAGGCAUUCAUGCCUAACUCUUUCAUCUGUUCUUCACCAAUCACUUUGGUGAUCAGAUUAUCAGCACUGUCAGCAAGCUGGCGUGCCUGUGAUGCAAGGUACGCAGCAUUACAGAUAUUGGGUGGCAUAUUGACCAGAUCUUUUGC